RNAcentral lists this ribosomal RNA (728 nucleotides) under Bacillus mycoides. RNAcentral describes it as "bacterial SSU rRNA". It matches the Rfam family "Bacterial small subunit ribosomal RNA", at positions 72 to 783 of the family's 1533-position model. The record is from RNAcentral. Lineage: Bacteria; Bacillati; Bacillota; Bacilli; Caryophanales; Bacillaceae.
UUAAGAGCUUGCUCUUAUGAAGUUAGCGGCGGACGGGUGAGUAACACGUGGGUAACCUACCCAUAAGACUGGGAUAACUCCGGGAAACCGGGGCUAAUACCGGAUAAUAUUUUGAACUGCAUAGUUCGAAAUUGAAAGGCGGCUUCGGCUGUCACUUAUGGAUGGACCCGCGUCGCAUUAGCUAGUUGGUGAGGUAACGGCUCACCAAGGCAACGAUGCGUAGCCGACCUGAGAGGGUGAUCGGCCACACUGGGACUGAGACACGGCCCAGACUCCUACGGGAGGCAGCAGUAGGGAAUCUUCCGCAAUGGACGAAAGUCUGACGGAGCAACGCCGCGUGAGUGAUGAAGGCUUUCGGGUCGUAAAACUCUGUUGUUAGGGAAGAACAAGUGCUAGUUGAAUAAGCUGGCACCUUGACGGUACCUAACCAGAAAGCCACGGCUAACUACGUGCCAGCAGCCGCGGUAAUACGUAGGUGGCAAGCGUUAUCCGGAAUUAUUGGGCGUAAAGCGCGCGCAGGUGGUUUCUUAAGUCUGAUGUGAAAGCCCACGGCUCAACCGUGGAGGGUCAUUGGAAACUGGGAGACUUGAGUGCAGAAGAGGAAAGUGGAAUUCCAUGUGUAGCGGUGAAAUGCGUAGAGAUAUGGAGGAACACCAGUGGCGAAGGCGACUUUCUGGUCUGUAACUGACACUGAGGCGCGAAAGCGUGGGGAGCAAACAGGAUUAGAU